Molecule: ribosomal RNA, 1268 nt
Filed under: Klebsiella pneumoniae
Lineage: Bacteria; Pseudomonadati; Pseudomonadota; Gammaproteobacteria; Enterobacterales; Enterobacteriaceae
Description: bacterial SSU rRNA
Rfam family: Bacterial small subunit ribosomal RNA
Source: RNAcentral
GCCUAGGGGGCCGGCCUACCAUGCAAGUCGAGCGGUAGCACAGAGAGCUUGCUCUCGGGUGACGAGCGGCGGACGGGUGAGUAAUGUCUGGGAAACUGCCUGAUGGAGGGGGAUAACUACUGGAAACGGUAGCUAAUACCGCAUAAUGUCGCAAGACCAAAGUGGGGGACCUUCGGGCCUCAUGCCAUCAGAUGUGCCCAGAUGGGAUUAGCUAGUAGGUGGGGUAACGGCUCACCUAGGCGACGAUCCCUAGCUGGUCUGAGAGGAUGACCAGCCACACUGGAACUGAGACACGGUCCAGACUCCUACGGGAGGCAGCAGUGGGGAAUAUUGCACAAUGGGCGCAAGCCUGAUGCAGCCAUGCCGCGUGUGUGAAGAAGGCCUUCGGGUUGUAAAGCACUUUCAGCGGGGAGGAAGGCGAUAAGGUUAAUAACCUUGUCGAUUGACGUUACCCGCAGAAGAAGCACCGGCUAACUCCGUGCCAGCAGCCGCGGUAAUACGGAGGGUGCAAGCGUUAAUCGGAAUUACUGGGCGUAAAGCGCACGCAGGCGGUCUGUCAAGUCGGAUGUGAAAUCCCCGGGCUCAACCUGGGAACUGCAUUCGAAACUGGCAGGCUAGAGUCUUGUAGAGGGGGGUAGAAUUCCAGGUGUAGCGGUGAAAUGCGUAGAGAUCUGGAGGAAUACCGGUGGCGAAGGCGGCCCCCUGGACAAAGACUGACGCUCAGGUGCGAAAGCGUGGGGAGCAAACAGGAUUAGAUACCCUGGUAGUCCACGCCGUAAACGAUGUCGAUUUGGAGGUUGUGCCCUUGAGGCGUGGCUUCCGGAGCUAACGCGUUAAAUCGACCGCCUGGGGAGUACGGCCGCAAGGUUAAAACUCAAAUGAAUUGACGGGGGCCCGCACAAGCGGUGGAGCAUGUGGUUUAAUUCGAUGCAACGCGAAGAACCUUACCUGGUCUUGACAUCCACAGAACUUAGCAGAGAUGCUUUGGUGCCUUCGGGAACUGUGAGACAAGGUGCUGCAUGGCUGUCGUCAGCUCGUGUUGUGAAAUGUUGGGUUAAGUCCCGCACGAGCGCAACCCUUAUCCUUUUGUGGCCAGCCGGUCAGGCGGGAACUCAAGGAGUACUGCCAAGUGCAUCACCUGCAGGAAGGUGGGGAUGACGUCAGUCAAUCAUGGCCCUUACGGACCAAGGCUUACCACGUGCUAACAUUGCGUAUACCAAGAGAAGUCGGACCCUCUGCCGAGAGACGACCAACGCGCGUAGCACUAC